This 180-nucleotide ribosomal RNA is filed under the name uncultured bacterium. RNAcentral describes it as "partial 16S ribosomal RNA". It matches the Rfam family "Bacterial small subunit ribosomal RNA", at positions 1313 to 1500 of the family's 1533-position model. The record is from RNAcentral.
CGACUCCGUGAAGCUGGAUUCGCUAGUAAUCGCGCAUCAGCCAUGGCGCGGUGAAUACGUUCCCGGGCCUUGUACACACCGCCCGUCAAGCCAUGGAAGCCGGGGGCGCUUGAAGUGCGUUGCCGCAAGGCGCGCCCUAGAGCGAAACCGGUGACUGGGGCUAAGUCGUAACAAGGUACC